CCUACGGGAGGCAGCAGUGGGGAAUAUUGGACAAUGGGCGAAAGCCUGAUCCAGCAAUGCCGCGUGAGUGAUGAAGGCCUUAGGGUUGUAAAGCUCUUUUACCCGGGAUGAUAAUGACAGUACCGGGAGAAUAAGCUCCGGCUAACUCCGUGCCAGCAGCCGCGGUAAUACGGAGGGAGCUAGCGUUAUUCGGAAUUACUGGGCGUAAAGCGUACGUAGGCGGCUUUGCAAGUUAGAGGUGAAAGCCUGGAGCUCAACUCCAGAACUGCCUUUAAAACCUGCAUCGCUUGAAUCCAGGAGAGGUGAGUGGAAUUCCGAGUGUAGAGGUGAAAUUCGUAGAUAUUCGGAAGAACACCAGUGGCGAAGGCGGCUCACUGGACUGGUAUUGACGCUGAGGUACGAAAGCGUGGGGAGCAAACAGGAUUAGAUACCCGUGGUAGUCCACGCCGUAAACGAUGAUAACUAGCUUGUCAGGGCACUUAGUGCUUUGGUGGCGCAGCUAACGGCAUUAAGUUAUCCGCCGUGGGGGUAGACGGGCCGCAACGGGUUUAAAACCUCAAAUGAAUUGACGG
Molecule: ribosomal RNA, 572 nt
Filed under: uncultured bacterium
Lineage: Bacteria
Description: bacterial SSU rRNA
Rfam family: Bacterial small subunit ribosomal RNA
Source: RNAcentral